AUGCCAGGGUGCAUUCAGCAAGUGGUAGAGGAAUUUGCAGAUGUGUUGGAGGAACCAACAGGUUUACCACCGAGGCGUGACUGCGAUCAUAGAAUCCCACUGAUCCCUGGGGCACAACCAUUCAGCAUCAGACACUAUCGUCACAAACCUGAUCAUAAGGAUGAGAUCGAGAAGCAAGUAGCUGAACUUUUGAAGUCUGGAGUUAUUCAACGCAGUAAUAGUCCUUUCACCUCCCCGGUGAUCCUUGUGAAGAAGAAGGAUGGGACUUGGCGUUUAUGCAUUGAUUAUCAACACCUCAACGCUCUGACAUGCAUUGGCAAAUAUCCUGUGCCGGUGAUCGAGGAGCUUCCCGAUGAGCUACACAGAGCUGUGUGGUUUUCCAAGCUUGACCUUCGCACAGGUUACCAUCAGAUCAGAUUGGCGGAAGGAGAGGAAUACAAGACGGCCUUCCAAACCCAUUCAGGGCACUACGAAUACAAGGUUGUGUCUUUUGGUAUGGUGGGAGGACAGGGCACUUUCAAUGGAGCUAUGCAUGAAGGAAAUAUGCCCUAG
Molecule: ribosomal RNA, 552 nt
Filed under: Triticum aestivum (bread wheat)
Lineage: Eukaryota; Viridiplantae; Streptophyta; Magnoliopsida; Poales; Poaceae
Description: partial small subunit ribosomal RNA
Source: RNAcentral